This 84-nucleotide transfer RNA is filed under the name Candidatus Nanoarchaeia archaeon. RNAcentral's name for it is "tRNA-Ser". It matches the Rfam family "tRNA". From Rfam's summary of the family: Transfer RNA (tRNA) molecules are approximately 80 nucleotides in length. Their secondary structure includes four short double-helical elements and three loops (D, anti-codon, and T loops). Further hydrogen bonds mediate the characteristic L-shaped molecular structure. tRNAs have two regions of fundamental functional importance: the anti-codon, which is responsible for specific mRNA codon recognition, and the 3' end, to which the tRNAs corresponding amino acid is attached (by aminoacyl-tRNA synthetases). tRNAs cope with the degeneracy of the genetic code in two manners: having more than one tRNA (with a specific anti-codon) for a particular amino acid; and 'wobble' base-pairing, i.e. permitting non-standard base-pairing at the 3rd anti-codon position. The record is from RNAcentral. Lineage: Archaea; Nanobdellati; Nanobdellota; Candidatus Nanoarchaeia.
GCCGAGAUCGCGUAACCUGGUAUCGCACAAGCCUGGAAAGCUUGACCCGUUAAGGGUAUGAGGGUUCAAAUCCCUCUCUCGGCG